UGGCCAACUCCCCAGGGAGCGGCAGACGCACCGCUGUCUGGACUUCCAGGGAGUCAGCGUGGUUUGGCCGGAGCGCUGGGCCAGCCGCGCGGCCUCUCCAGCCAGCCACCUGAAAACGUCAUUCACAAAGGAGUUCACGAUGCUCAUGGCCUUGGAAGAGAUGCCAAUGUCAGGGUGCACCUGCUUCAGCACCUUGUAGAUACACACCGAAGAUCUGGUUGUUAAGCAUCUGCCUGCAUACCAGUGAGUGAAAGGAAGAGGAGAAGCAAAAGAUGGGUAAGGUUUAGAAUCUAAGACUAGAAGAAUAACAUUGUUGUUUGUUCAUCUAUUCC
RNAcentral lists this long non-coding RNA (332 nucleotides) under Dasypus novemcinctus (nine-banded armadillo). RNAcentral's name for it is "lncRNA (ENSDNOG00000052944.1)". The record is from RNAcentral. Lineage: Eukaryota; Metazoa; Chordata; Mammalia; Cingulata; Dasypodidae.